This 572-nucleotide ribosomal RNA is filed under the name uncultured bacterium. RNAcentral describes it as "bacterial SSU rRNA". It matches the Rfam family "Bacterial small subunit ribosomal RNA", at positions 325 to 884 of the family's 1533-position model. The record is from RNAcentral.
CGCCGCCCCCGCCCGCCUUACGGGAGGCAACAGUGGGGAAUUUUGACAAUGGGCGCAACCCUGAUCCAGCAAUGCCGCGGUGAGGGGAAGAAGGCCUUCGGGUUGUAAAGCUCUUUUGUCAGGGAAAGAAACUGGCUGUGGCUAAUACCCACGGCUAAUGACGGUACCUGAAGAAUAAGCACCGGCUAACUACGUGCCAGCAGCCGCGGUAAUACGUAGGGUGCAAGCGUUAAUCGGAAUUACUGGGCGUAAAGCGUGCGCAGGCGGUUUUGUAAGUCAGACGUGAAAUCCCCGGGCUUAACCUGGGAAUUGCGUUGGAGACUGCAAGGCUGGAGUCUGGCAGAGGGGGGUAGAAUUCCACGUGUAGCAGUGAAAUGCGUAGAUGAUGUGGGAGGAACACCGAUGGCGAAGGCAGCCCCCUGGGCCAAGACUGACGCUCAUGCACGAAAGCGUGGGGAGCAAACAGGAUUAGAUACCCCUGGUAGUCCACGCCCUAAACGAUGUCUACUAGGUUGUCGGGUAUACGGACCGGUAACGCAGCUAACUCGUGAAGAGGCCGCCUGGGGACGUCG